RNAcentral lists this ribosomal RNA (579 nucleotides) under Pinus taeda (loblolly pine). RNAcentral's name for it is "bacterial SSU rRNA". It matches the Rfam family "Bacterial small subunit ribosomal RNA", at positions 337 to 916 of the family's 1533-position model. Lineage: Eukaryota; Viridiplantae; Streptophyta; Pinopsida; Pinales; Pinaceae. The record is from RNAcentral.
UCCUACGGGAGGCAGCAGUGGGGAAUAUUGGACAAUGGGCUCACGCCCGAUCCAGCAAUAUCGCGUGGGUGAAGAAGGGCACUGUCGCUUGUCAAGCUCUUUCGUCGAGUUUCGAUCAUGACAGGACUCGAGGAAGAAGCCCCGGCUAACUCCGUGCCAGCAGCCGCGGUAAUACGGGGGGGGCAAGUGUUAUUCGGAAUGACUGGGCGUAAAGGGCACGUAGGCGGUGAAAAGGGUGGAAAGUGAAAGUCGCCAAAACACUGGCGGGGUGCUUUCUUGACCAUUUCACUUGAGUGAGAUAGGGGAGAGUGGAAUUUCGUGUGGAGGGAUCAAAUCCUAAGAUAUACGAAGGAACGCCAACCGCGAAGGCAGCUCUCUGGGUCCCCACUGACGCUGGGGUGCGAAAGCAUGGGGAGCAAACAGGAUCAGAUACCCUGGUAGUCCAUGCCGUAAGCGAUGAGUGUUCGUCCUUGGUCUGCCUGCCUACUAGGUAGGAUUAGGAUCAGGGGCCCAGCUAACGCGUGAAACACUCCGCCUGGGGAGUACGGUCGCAAGACUGAAACUCAAAGGAAUUGACGG